CGGCCCGUGGCUUAAUGGCUACAGCUCCCGCCUCAUAAGCGGAAGGUCCUGGGUUCGAUUCCCAACCGGUCUC
This is a transfer RNA of Culex pipiens (northern house mosquito), 73 nucleotides long. It matches the Rfam family "tRNA". Rfam says of the family: Transfer RNA (tRNA) molecules are approximately 80 nucleotides in length. NCBI's taxonomy places the organism in Eukaryota, Metazoa, Arthropoda, Insecta, Diptera, Culicidae. The record is from Rfam.